Oncorhynchus mykiss (rainbow trout) is the source of this 2112-nucleotide non-coding RNA. Lineage: Eukaryota; Metazoa; Chordata; Actinopteri; Salmoniformes; Salmonidae. The record is from RefSeq and is a predicted model, not a curated record.
UAUGGACAUACACUCCAUAGUUGUAUAAUUAUAUAUGGACAUACUCUCCAUAGUUGUAUAAUUAUAUCUGGACAUACACUCCAUAGUUGUAUAAUUAUAUAUGGACAUACGCUCCAUAGUUGUACAAGUAUACAAGGAUAUAUUGUACUUUUCAUAAUAAAACAGACUUGAAACAAGAAAAAACCUGUUAAUUGUGAAAACAAUUUUGUAAUUGUAAAGGCUUCUGGGUGGAGGAGUCAGGCAGAGAGCAGGGUUCAAAACGUGGAUCUUCUGGGUGGAGGAGUCAGGCGCAGAGUGCAGGGUUCAAAACGUGGAUCUUCUGGGUGGAGGAGUCAGGCGCAGAGAGCAGGGUUCAAAACGUGGAUCUUCUGGGUGGAGGAGUCAGGCAGAGAGCAGGGUAGUUCAAAACGUGGAUCUUCUGGGUGGAGGAGUCAGGGGCAGAGAGCAGGGUAGUUCAAAACGUGGAUCUUUAUUCCAAGAACAGAGUAACGGCCAAACACAAGGGCGCAACCCAACAAACAGGACGGAACUGUCCGGAAAAACGGAAUCCACAAUAAUCCACAUGAACAGAAAAGCCAGCGGGCCGACGGGGUUUAAACAGCCCAAAACCCAAACAACAAACAGGUGCAACUAAACUAAAUGAAACAGAAAAGGUGAUCAGCUAGUAGACGACCGCCGAGCGCCGCCCGAACAGGAAGAGGCACCAUCUUCGGAGGGAUUUGAUUUAACGUUUCCUCUGUCAGGUUGAUGUUCACCUGCGACUGGUUGAAACAUGAAACAAAUAUGAAAUGAAAUACAAAACAAUUAAAUAUGUGAAAAUUAAUUAAACAAAUUGUACAAUUAGUACAACAGAGUUUUGUGAUGCAGGGUUACUAUAGCAACAGAGUGUUGUAAUGCAGGGUCACUAUAGCAACAGAGUUCUCUCUGCUCUCUCUCUUUCUGCUCGCUCUUUCUGUUCUCUGCUCUCUCUGUUCUCAUCCAUCAGAUGUCUGUGAUCUCACCCUGAACCUAAACACAGUAAACAGCCACCUCUCUCUGUCUGAGGAGAACAGAAAGGUGACAUGUAGGACGGAGGAGCAGCCGUAUCCUGAUCACCCAGAGAGAUUUGAGGUCUGUUCUGCUCUGACAACAGUUACUCUGCCUGUCACAAUAAUAAACCCACUACCAUAGACGUCUGCCCCUCCAGCCCCCACAGAGUAGGAGUGUAUCUGGACUGGCCAGCGUGAACUCUGUCCUUCUAUAGAGCCUCCUCUGACACACUGACCCACCUGAACACAUUCACCUCCACAUUCACUGAGCCCCUCUAUCCAGGGUUUUGGGUUUGGGAUGAUGGUGAAUCAGUGUUCCUCUGUCAGUGACACACACACUGGACACAACAACUAAAGCUCUAAAGUAACUUUUUAUUGACAGAUGCCUCAUUUAAAUGUUCUGGGUUUUGAUGAAAGGAAAUCCCAUAAAGCCUACUGGCCAGGACUUUGUUAUGGCAUCUUCUGAUUGGGUGUCUCAGGCCAUUACUUUGUUAUGGCAUCUUCUGAUUGGGUGUCUCAGGUCAGGACUUUGUUAUGACAUCUUCUGAUUGGGUGUCUCAGGUCAGGACUUUGUUAUGACAUCUUCUGAUUGGGUGUCUCAGGUCAGGUCUGAGCCAUGAUCAGAAUGUGUCUGUCUAUUUCCAGCCUUGCCAUUUCUACCUGUCCUGAUCUAGUGUUUGACCCCUGACCUCCACACAACGUCUCACUGUCCAUGUCUGCUUUUAGCUCCCACCUCUACUUCACUGUGUUAUAAUGAACCUUAUGCUUGUUAUGUCACCUCUGUAACCAGGUAUCAAACAUCCUGACCUUUCUGACCCUGUCCCAUGGCCCCACUUCACUGUGUUAUAAUGGACCUUAUGCUUGUUAUGUCACCUCUGUAACCAGGUAUCAAACAUACUGACCUUCCUGACCCUGUCCCAUGGCCCUACUUUCUACAACUAAACAUUUAAAUCCUCUAAGUUUUGUUUAGUGUCCACUUACUUAUUUAUUUAUGUAUUUGUUGUAUAUUGGGGUUGUGCAGCAGAGCAUCAUGGGGGUUUGUAUGUGUUGAGAUGAUCACGUUCCAGAUAAAUGGUUGAACUGA